CUCGUAGGCGGUUUGUUGCGUCGGCCGUGAAAACUUCACGCUUAACGUGGAGCUUGCGGUCGAUACGGGCAGACUUGAGUUCGGUAGGGGAGACUGGAAUUCCUGGUGUAGCGGUGAAAUGCGCAGAUAUCAGGAGGAACACCGGUGGCGAAGGCGGGUCUCUGGGCCGAUACUGACGCUGAGGAGCGAAAGCGUGGGGAGCGAACA
This 207-nucleotide ribosomal RNA is filed under the name uncultured bacterium. Its description in RNAcentral is "partial 16S ribosomal RNA". It matches the Rfam family "Bacterial small subunit ribosomal RNA", at positions 568 to 774 of the family's 1533-position model. The record is from RNAcentral.